Molecule: long non-coding RNA, 9337 nt
Organism: Diorhabda sublineata
Lineage: Eukaryota; Metazoa; Arthropoda; Insecta; Coleoptera; Chrysomelidae
Exons: 2
Source: RefSeq, a predicted model, not a curated record
GGUAAUGAAGAUAAUUCUAGAUGUUAUCCUACAUAUGAGGCAGAUGAUACAAAAAUAAAUCAAAGUAAGUAUGGUACUUUCUCAAUAGACGUGAAUUUGUUCUUAAAAAAGUAAGUCUAUGUUCAACUUAUAGUUGUUGCCGUCAGUUUUAAUUAAUCUAAUAAGGAAGUAGGUCUACAUAAUAAGUGAUAAUGUGAUCUACCUAUCUUGUUUAUAGAUAUUGCAGUUUCUGAAUGUGAUCUUAGUGUGGACAGAGAUAAUUCAUUACAUGAUCCAACUUACAUACCAGAAGAUACUGAGACUGUUAAUGUCACAAAAACAAAUAAGCAAAAUAUGAUAUGUCAAAUCAACACAAAGUUACAAAAUUACAAAGUGACAGUUGACCUCAAUGGGCUUCAAUGGAUGUUAUUCGAUGAUAUCUGACAAAGUUAGAUGCAAACUCAUUCAAAUAUAUGAGAAAUGUUGAUAUUCGACUUCAAAUGAGGAAGAUAGACUUUGAAAAUUUUUAAUCAACACAAAGUGAGAAUCGACUUCAAUGGGCUUCAAUGAAUGUAAAUCGACGAUAUCUGACAAAGUUAGACGCAAACUCAUUCAAAUAUAUGAGAAAUGUUGAAAUUCGACUUCAAAUGAGGAAGAUAGACUUUGAAAAUUUUCAAUCAACACAAAGUGACAAACGACUUCAAUGGGCUUCAAUGAAUGUAAAUCGACGAUAUCUGACAAAGUUAGAUGCAAACUCAUUCAAAUAUAUGAGAAAUGUUGAAAUUCGACUUCAAAUGAGGAAGAUAGACUUUGAAAUUUUUCAAUCAACACAAAGUGAGAAUCGACUUCAAUGGGCUUCAAUGAAUGUAAAUCGACGAUAUCUGACAAAGUUAGAUGCAAACUCAUUCAAAUAUAUGAGAAAUGUUGAAAUUCGACUUCAAAUGAGGAAGAUAGACUUUGAAAAUUUUCAAUCAAGACAAAGUGGCAAUCGACUUCAAUGGGCUUCAAUGGAUGUUAAUCGACGAUAUCUGACAAAGUGGUUAAGAAAGCUUAACAAAGUUUCUUUUUAGGACACUAGAUAGGUACUUAUUAUAUAUUUUCAAUUUUUCUACGUCUUCGUUUUUCGAAUUAGUAAUUUCAUUAGUGAUUACAGGUAGGUACAUGAAAAUGUUUAUUAAGUAAAGAAAGAACGUAGAAUUCAUACAGUGUAGAAUUUAUUUCAAGUUUCAAAAUUUCUGUUUCAUUUUCUACCCAGUAAUAAAUAAAGCCUUUAUCAAGUCCUAAAUUUUGGAUAUUACAUUUAGAAUACGAAUUAUAAAAGGAAACAUCGAGAAGAGGUAUAUAAGUUUGCUUAAAUAAACAAAAAAGGGUGGUUGGUUUUUGAAGAUAAAAUUCUUGGAAGGAUAAAGAAAGGGUCUGAGAAGGUUCAACAAUUUAUCAAAAUAUCAAUCAUAAUUAUUACAUUUGGACAAUAAAAUAAACAUAAAAUUUUAAAAAUAGAAUAACAAUCCCUCGAAAGAUAUUGAAAUAUCAACCCUAAAGACUAUCUUCUACCUACCUAGGAAUAUUGUACCCCGAGAAGCUCACACCAGAAAUUAAAUAAUUGAAAAGUGAAUAUUAUAUUAUUUAUAAAAUAUCUGAAACAGUUCCUGUUUUUGUAAAAUUUUGGAUGGAAAUCUAUACAUAGUUACUAAAUUAGUUUCAAAUCCUCUAUAAUUGAUCAUUGAUCUAUGUAUAUAAACUGUUUCAUUUGCACCAUUCCUUUUUAGAUAUGAAUACCGCAAUUUCUACAUCUAAUCUCUGUGGUAAUGAAGAUAAUUCUAGAUGUUAUCCUACAUAUGAGGCAGAUGAUACAAAAAUAAAUCAAAGUAAGUAUGGUACUUUCUCAAUAGACGUGAAUUUGUUCUUAAAAAAGUAAGUCUAUGUUCAACUUAUAGUUGUUGCCGUCAGUUUUAAUUAAUCUAAUAAGGAAGUAGGUCUACAUAAUAAGUGAUAAUGUGAUCUACCUAUCUUGUUUAUAGAUAUUGCAGUUUCUGAAUGUGAUCUUAGUGUGGACAGAGAUAAUUCAUUACAUGAUCCAACUUACAUACCAGAAGAUACUGAGACUGUUAAUGUCACAAAAACAAAUAAGCGUAAGUCAUUUUCACAUUAGUUUCUAGCUUGUGAAAGAAAUCAUGAAUUUAUACCUCAGUUAUCAGGUGGCCACUAAUUUUUCAUUUUUUUUUAAAUAAUUAUAUAUACAAUGAGUUUCAAAAAGUUCACACCAAUUUUUCAGAAAAUAUGAUAUGUCAAAUCAACACAAAGUUACAAAAUUACAAAGUGACAGUUGACCUCAAUGGGCUUCAAUGGAUGUUAUUCGAUGAUAUCUGACAAAGUUAGAUGCAAACUCAUUCAAAUAUAUGAGAAAUGUUGAUAUUCGACUUCAAAUGAGGAAGAUAGACUUUGAAAAUUUUUAAUCAACACAAAGUGAGAAUCGACUUCAAUGGGCUUCAAUGAAUGUAAAUCGACGAUAUCUGACAAAGUUAGACGCAAACUCAUUCAAAUAUAUGAGAAAUGUUGAAAUUCGACUUCAAAUGAGGAAGAUAGACUUUGAAAAUUUUCAAUCAACACAAAGUGACAAACGACUUCAAUGGGCUUCAAUGAAUGUAAAUCGACGAUAUCUGACAAAGUUAGAUGCAAACUCAUUCAAAUAUAUGAGAAAUGUUGAAAUUCGACUUCAAAUGAGGAAGAUAGACUUUGAAAUUUUUCAAUCAACACAAAGUGAGAAUCGACUUCAAUGGGCUUCAAUGAAUGUAAAUCGACGAUAUCUGACAAAGUUAGAUGCAAACUCAUUCAAAUAUAUGAGAAAUGUUGAAAUUCGACUUCAAAUGAGGAAGAUAGACUUUGAAAAUUUUCAAUCAAGACAAAGUGGCAAUCGACUUCAAUGGGCUUCAAUGGAUGUUAAUCGACGAUAUCUGACAAAGUGGUUAAGAAAGCUUAACAAAGUUUCUUUUUAGGACACUAGAUAGGUACUUAUUAUAUAUUUUCAAUUUUUCUACGUCUUCGUUUUUCGAAUUAGUAAUUUCAUUAGUGAUUACAGGUAGGUACAUGAAAAUGUUUAUUAAGUAAAGAAAGAACGUAGAAUUCAUACAGUGUAGAAUUUAUUUCAAGUUUCAAAAUUUCUGUUUCAUUUUCUACCCAGUAAUAAAUAAAGCCUUUAUCAAGUCCUAAAUUUUGGAUAUUACAUUUAGAAUACGAAUUAUAAAAGGAAACAUCGAGAAGAGGUAUAUAAGUUUGCUUAAAUAAACAAAAAAGGGUGGUUGGUUUUUGAAGAUAAAAUUCUUGGAAGGAUAAAGAAAGGGUCUGAGAAGGUUCAACAAUUUAUCAAAAUAUCAAUCAUAAUUAUUACAUUUGGACAAUAAAAUAAACAUAAAAUUUUAAAAAUAGAAUAACAAUCCCUCGAAAGAUAUUGAAAUAUCAACCCUAAAGACUAUCUUCUACCUACCUAGGAAUAUUGUACCCCGAGAAGCUCACACCAGAAAUUAAAUAAUUGAAAAGUGAAUAUUAUAUUAUUUAUAAAAUAUCUGAAACAGUUCCUGUUUUUGUAAAAUUUUGGAUGGAAAUCUAUACAUAGUUACUAAAUUAGUUUCAAAUCCUCUAUAAUUGAUCAUUGAUCUAUGUAUAUAAACUGUUUCAUUUGCAUCAUUCCUUUUUAGAUAUGAAUACUGCAAUUUCUACAUCUAAUCUCUGUGGUAAUGAAGAUUUUUUUUUAAAUAAUUAUAUAUACAAUGAGUUUCAAAAAGUUCACACCAAUUUUUCAGAAAAUAUGAGAUGUCAAAUCAACACAAAGUUACAAAAUUACAAAGUGACAGUUGACCUCAAUGGGCUUCAAUGGAUGUUAUUCGAUGAUAUCUGACAAAGUUAGAUGCAAACUCAUUCAAAUAUAUGAGAAAUGUUGAUAUUCGACUUCAAAUGAGGAAGAUAGACUUUGAAAAUUUUUAAUCAACACAAAGUGAGAAUCGACUUCAAUGGGCUUCAAUGAAUGUAAAUCGACGAUAUCUGACAAAGUUAGAUGCAAACUCAUUCAAAUAUAUGAGAAAUGUUGAAAUUCGACUUCAAAUGAGGAAGAUAGACUUUGAAAAUUUUCAAUCAAGACAAAGUGGCAAUCGACUUCAAUGGGCUUCAAUGGAUGUUAAUCGACGAUAUCUGACAAAGUGGUUAAGAAAGCUUAACAAAGUUUCUUUUUAGGACACUAGAUAGGUACUUAUUAUAUAUUUUCAAUUUUUCUACGUCUUCGUUUUUCGAAUUAGUAAUUUCAUUAGUGAUUACAGGUAGGUACAUGAAAAUGUUUAUUAAGUAAAGAAAGAACGUAGAAUUCAUACAGUGUAGAAUUUAUUUCAAGUUUCAAAAUUUCUGUUUCAUUUUCUACCCAGUAAUAAAUAAAGCCUUUAUCAAGUCCUAAAUUUUGGAUAUUACAUUUAGAAUACGAAUUAUAAAAGGAAACAUCGAGAAGAGGUAUAUAAGUUUGCUUAAAUAAACAAAAAAGGGUGGUUGGUUUUUGAAGAUAAAAUUCUUGGAAGGAUAAAGAAAGGGUCUGAGAAGGUUCAACAAUUUAUCAAAAUAUCAAUCAUAAUUAUUACAUUUGGACAAUAAAAUAAACAUAAAAUUUUAAAAAUAGAAUAACAAUCCCUCGAAAGAUAUUGAAAUAUCAACCCUAAAGACUAUCUUCUACCUACCUAGGAAUAUUGUACCCCGAGAAGCUCACACCAGAAAUUAAAUAAUUGAAAAGUGAAUAUUAUAUUAUUUAUAAAAUAUCUGAAACAGUUCCUGUUUUUGUAAAAUUUUGGAUGGAAAUCUAUACAUAGUUACUAAAUUAGUUUCAAAUCCUCUAUAAUUGAUCAUUGAUCUAUGUAUAUAAACUGUUUCAUUUGCACCAUUCCUUUUUAGAUAUGAAUACUGCAAUUUCUACAUCUAAUCUCUGUGGUAAUGAAGAUUUUUUUUUAAAUAAUUAUAUAUACAAUGAGUUUCAAAAAGUUCACACCAAUUUUUCAGAAAAUAUGAGAUGUCAAAUCAACACAAAGUUACAAAAUUACAAAGUGACAGUUGACCUCAAUGGGCUUCAAUGGAUGUUAUUCGAUGAUAUCUGACAAAGUUAGAUGCAAACUCAUUCAAAUAUAUGAGAAAUGUUGAUAUUCGACUUCAAAUGAGGAAGAUAGACUUUGAAAAUUUUUAAUCAACACAAAGUGAGAAUCGACUUCAAUGGGCUUCAAUGAAUGUAAAUCGACGAUAUCUGACAAAGUUAGACGCAAACUCAUUCAAAUAUAUGAGAAAAGGUUGAAAUUCGACUUCAAAUGAGGAAGAUAGACUUUGAAAAUUUUCAAUCAACACAAAGUGACAAACGACUUCAAUGGGCUUCAAUGAAUGUAAAUCGACGAUAUCUGACAAAGUUAGAUGCAAACUCAUUCAAAUAUAUGAGAAAUGUUGAAAUUCGACUUCAAAUGAGGAAGAUAGACUUUGAAAUUUUUCAAUCAACACAAAGUGAGAUUCGACUUCAAUGGGCUUCAAUGAAUGUAAAUCGACGAUAUCUGACAAAGUUAGAUGCAAACUCAUUCAAAUAUAUGAGAAAUGUUGAAAUUCGACUUCAAAUGAGGAAGAUAGACUUUGAAAAUUUUCAAUCAAGACAAAGUGACAAUCGACUUCAAUGGGCUUCAAUGGAUGUUAAUCGACUAUAUCUGACAAAGUGGUUAAGAAAGCUUAACAAAGUUUCUUUUUAGGACACUAGAUAGGUACUUAUUAUAUAUUUUCAAUUUUUCUACGUCUUCGUUUUUCGAAUUAGUAAUUUCAUUAGUGAUUACAGGUAGGUACAUGAAAAUGUUUAUUAAGUAAAGAAAGAACGUAGAAUUCAUACAGUGUAGAAUUUAUUUCAAGUUUCAAAAUUUCUGUUUCAUUUUCUACCCAGUAAUAAAUAAAGCCUUUAUCAAGUCCUAAAUUUUGGAUAUUACAUUUAGAAUACGAAUUAUAAAAGGAAAUAUCGAGAAGAGGUAUAUAAGUUUGCUUAAAUAAACAAAAAAGGGUGGUUGGUUUUUGAAGAUAAAAUUCUUGGAAGGAUAAAGAAAGGGUCUGAGAAGGUUCAACAAUUUAUCAAAAUAUCAAUCAUAAUUAUUACAUUUGGACAAUUAAAUAAACAUAAAAUUUUAAAAAUAGAAUAACAAUCCCUCGAAAGAUAUUGAAAUAUCAACCCUAAAGACUAUCUUCUACCUACCUAGGAAUUAUUGUACCCCGAGAAGCUCACACCAGAAAUUAAAUAAUUGAAAAGUGAAUAUUGAAAGUUUUGACUAAACAGUUUUCAAAAUGCAAAUCAGUCACCAGAAAAACAUUCUUGACAACUUCAUUAGCUCAAAUUUUUUUCUAUUCGAAAAAACAAAGAUAUUGAAGCAGCUAAGCACUAAAUUCAAACAAUAAAUAAUUUUCUCUUUCCUAUACCCACCAAUUAUUGAACAAGAGGAACAAAUACCAAAAAAAAUAUUAGAAACCUUCACUUGGAAAGUUUUCUAUGAAACAGAAAACUCAAUUAUUAGUUUAGUAACAACCCUUAAAAAAAAAAUAUGUGAAAAACGAUUAGAUUAAGUUUGUUUUAUUAAAAGAUCCCCAGUUUAAUGCACUUGAAAAUUCAAAGUUCCAAAAGAAUGGCGGCAUAUAACCGAUAUAUAAAAGAAAAUAGUUUUCACUCCAUAAUCUGAGACCAAAUGACAAGAAAUAUUUUAGGUAGUAAAUUUAAAAUCAAAUGAAUAAGACAAAAAAUCACUCACCAGUUCACAAAUGAGGAAAUCACCAUCUUGGUAGUUAAGAAUUUUCCGUUUAUCCAUAAUUUUCACAAUAUUGCAUUAAAACACGGAAAAUUCUUUAUCGGAUUAUUGUUAACACGCACGUCCACAAACAUCAAAGAAAAACAAAUAAUUUUUAAUGUUUAUUUUCAAUCCGUUUCACGAAAAUUUUCAAAUAAAAGCUAUUUUCUAUCGAUAUACUGAGAAUUUCCAAUGUUUCCAAUAAAAAUUUUCAACAUUAGUCACAUUUUUAAAACUAGAAAUCGAAAGUUUUUUUUGUCGUUAUCGAACAAAUCCGGUAUCUCUGUAUUUUAUUUAUCUAAUAAUAACUAUUUUGUACUACAAUCGAAAUAAGGUAUUUUAAUAUUAAUAUCUAUAUAUAUUUUUAUAUGAAAAAACACAUUACAGUUGAAAAGAUUUGACGUGAACAAUAAUUGCGUCGACAUACAAAGUUGGCCGACAUGCUGUCUAGACAGACAAGGGUCAACGAACUAUUUGAUGCUAUAUUUUAGAUUAUCGUUUGUUUAAUGUUUAUAAGUAAAUUAAUGAUUCAAACAAUUUCAAAUUAUCUGAUGAAUAUGCUUAAUUUUAAUUACUUUGAAAAUAUUAAUAAAAUAAUAAUAUAACAUUAGCAUUCCAUAAAAUGUAAUACACUGAAAUCGUUCAUUUUCCUGGAAACUUUAAUUGGACAAAUCUCGUUAAUUUUUACAUAAAGAGAAUAAUAUCUUACCUAUAUCAAUAAGAAAAUAGUUUUCACUUCACCAUCGAAAACAAAAUUGCACGAAAUUUUACGAAUAGAAAAUUUAGCAUCAAAUAUGUCUGUCCGAAUUUGUAAUACUGUCAAAGUUUCAUUAUCUAAAUAAUUAAAUGCAUUGUUUAAAGCUUGUGACGUCACAUUUAAAGUGCGCAAGUCAAAAACAAGUCUAGACAUUCCCAAGGAAUUCGAAAGGGGUCAAUGAACUGAGAAGAUGUAAAAGUUUUGAUUUAUUAAAUAAUAAGUAAUUAAAUAUUACAUAUUUUGUUAUAUAAUUUCCAUAUUGAAUAAAAUAGUGUUUUCAAAGAGCAAUAUAAAUUUUUAAUAAUAUUUCUAAGAAAGUUUCGAAUAAUUAGUGAUAAUAGAUAUACUUCAUACAAUAAAACAUGGCAUAGAUUUAAUUAUUACAAUUCACAAUAACUUAAUAUUAUUAAAUGGCUAUAUAAGUAGAGGUUAUGGGCAGCAAAUAAUAGUAAUUUCCUUUUGGUAAUAUAUACUUUUAUUGUUUUACGACAUACCUUCGUUUUUCGAAUUAGUACUUUCAUUGGUGAUUACAGGUACAUGAAAAUUUUUAUAUUAAUUAAGGAUCGUAGAAUUUGAAACGAUGUUUCCAAAAAAUUAGUUGCAUAUGUAUAAAGACAAAAUCAAAACUUUUUUGUUAUCUUGAUAUCGAGAAUUCUGUGAUUUUAAAACUUCCCAUAAUGUAGUGUGGUCCUCAUCCCCAAAUUACAUAAACCAUAUAAGAAAAUAUUCUAUUGAACAUUAUUUUUCUCAUGAAUAUCAAAAAUAAAUUCGAAAUGUGAAGUAAAUAAGAAAUUCUUCCAACAAAGAUGAGGGCGUCUAAAAAGGGGCUUCACGGUCAAUUUUUGUUAUCGGUAUUAAAUCCUCAACAUAUAUAAAUAUUUUGGUAUUACUAUCUAUUAUUUAUGUAGAAUAAUGCGAUUUUAAAAUUUCUCAUAGUGAAGGGUGGUCCUUAACUCUAACAAUUCUGUUGAAUGUAAUCUCAUAAAUAUCAAAAAAAAUAUAUUAGAAACAAACAAUUCUUGGAACAAAGACAAAGGCAUCCAAGAAGGGGCUGCACGAUCAUUUUUCGUUAUCGGUAUUAAACCCUCGAUAUAAUGUAAACAAACUAUUCUACAAACAGAUAAAAAGAGUUCCAAAACUGCACCGCACGUGUUAUUUUUCAAAUAUAAAUAUCAACCCAAGGAUACUUUCAACAAAAAAAGGGACUAAUAAUGGUCAAUAACAGAAUAUAAUAUAAAUGAAAGAUUUCUAAAAUAAACACACCAGAAUCCAUUGUAAACCAUUAAAAAUAUUGAAUUCUAUUGAAACAAUCUAUUUUCACUAUAAGAAUUUCUUAUAGAAUAACCAUUGUUUUUCUGAACAUAUGAUGAUGAUAUGAAGUAUAGCUGAUUUAAUAACACUGAUGAUAAAAUUAAAGUCAGGAGAAUUUCAGUCAAACUAAACGAAUAGAAAGAAGGUAAGGGUAGAAAGUUGGAUAUCAAACAACAUUUAAACGAUGGAGGAAACACUAAUCUGAAGAAAGAAAUGCUUAUCAACUAGUAAAAAUAAUUUGAAUUAACACGAUAAUGAAGUGAGUAGUUCGGCAUCUAUUUUGAAAACAAAAGAGGAACAAAAAACGCAAAGAAAAAAAUGGUAAGAGAGGUAAUCAACAAGGAGAGAAUGAAAAAUAAAAAAAAAAGUAUCAAAUGAUGGAUGUUGAUGGUGAAAAAGAACAAUUAAAUCAGGAUAAGGAUACUACAGAACCAAGUCCAAAAAAAAUAAGGUAAAGAAAACAAAA